GCGCGGGGACGACCCUGCAUUUUUGUCAAAAAGGACGGGACGACCCGC
This 48-nucleotide non-coding RNA is filed under the name Manganibacter manganicus. Its description in RNAcentral is "Pseudaminobacter manganicus Guanidine-II sequence". It matches the Rfam family "Guanidine-II riboswitch aptamer (mini-ykkC)". Rfam says of the family: Simpler in structure and has fewer highly conserved nucleotide positions than the ykkC-yxkD leader. Despite this each of its two stem-loop structures directly bind free guanidine. Lineage: Bacteria; Pseudomonadati; Pseudomonadota; Alphaproteobacteria; Hyphomicrobiales; Phyllobacteriaceae. The record is from Rfam by way of RNAcentral.